Non-coding RNA from Chelonoidis abingdonii (Abingdon island giant tortoise), 1215 nucleotides. NCBI's taxonomy places the organism in Eukaryota, Metazoa, Chordata, Testudines, Testudinidae. The record is from RefSeq and is a predicted model, not a curated record.
AGUAACAAGCUGCUGACCCCUCCCUUCCCUGGCUGGAGAGGGCGGAAGCGCCGCGCGGGCAGGCUGGGAGAUGUAGUCCUGACUCUCCCGGAGCGGAAGUGACGUCGGCGGGGAGGACGUUGGGCGCUGCGGCUCUGCCUGGCUCGCGCGGGGCCGUUGGAGCUCUCCCGGGGCCGGAGAAGGAUAUUGGGGUUGAAUUUCCUGGUUCAGACGCUGCUGCCUGCAUUGUGAUCUGGGAGCCCAGACUGAGCAGCUGCUGCUCCCCCAGUGGGGUCUGGGCUCGGGAGUGACUUGGAGUGAAGCUUCCUCUGUGCCCAGGCAAGGGAACCAGUUGCUAAGAUUUUAGCAGCUCAUCACUGCCGUCAGCCCCAGCCCUUCCGGGGGCCAGAGCUGGCCACAGCAUACAGCCUGUGUUUGGGUCACACCCUGAUGUCACGGCUGUGUGGAGUGCAUUCGGAAUGAGGCAACCCAGAGCUGCUGGGCAACCUGUCACAUAGUUCCUCUUGCUGUAUUGCAAGGUUUAUUUGCAUUUUGACUGAAUGUGGUGACAUUUAUCAAUAUGAGUAAGAGAUCAAGAGACAUUUGUAGAAAGUACUCAAGUGGGAGUAAGAAAAGAGCCAUAUACAAGGCAAAAGCAGUUGAAAGACAGAAGCAAAAGGGUGCUUUAAGCAAGUGUUUUAGCAGACCUGAUUCUACUGUUGAACUGGAAGAGCUCAGUGAAGAUGCAGAUAUGGUUGAAAAUUAUCCAGUAGAACAUACAACACAGACAGAGAAUGACAGCAAUGAUGAAGAAUUUGAAGAGCCAAAUCUGUCUGAAGAAGACACUCAAGACAGUCACGGAGAAGAGAGGACUACAAAAAGGGUUGUAACUGAUGCUGAAGGUACUGAGGGUCAAGAAUGCUUUUCUGAUAAUAAAGAUGGAAGUGGUUUUGCUCCAGAGCAAAAAGGCAACUUCAACUCUGCUGACCAAAUAGAAAUAUCUGAAGAUCUUGGCCAGAAUACAUUAGCCAGUGUAUCAGGGAGUAUUUAGUAAAACAAGGGCCACCUAAAAUUAUUGUAGAAGAUUUCCCUAAAAAUAAGAUUGGGAAACACUUCUCAAAGUUUCACUGCAAAAGGAAACUUUCAAAUGGUGAAAUUGUACCUCGUCCGUGCCCCAUGCUACAGUGUGAGCGGACAAGAUCUUUUGUUAUUACUGUAAGAUUUUUUUGCAAUAAU